This 460-nucleotide ribosomal RNA is filed under the name uncultured bacterium. RNAcentral's name for it is "partial 16S ribosomal RNA". It matches the Rfam family "Bacterial small subunit ribosomal RNA", at positions 338 to 795 of the family's 1533-position model. The record is from RNAcentral.
CCUACGGGAGGCAGCAGUGAGGAAUAUUGGUCAAUGGGCGGAAGCCUGAACCAGCCAAGUCGCGUGAGGGAUUAAGGCCCUGCGGGUCGUAAACCUCUUUUGCCGGGGAGCAGAGGUCCGGACGUGUCCGGGCCGGGAGAGUACCCGGAGAAAAAGCAUCGGCUAACUCCGUGCCAGCAGCCGCGGUAAUACGGAGGAUGCGAGCGUUAUCCGGAUUUUUUGGGUUUAAAGGGUGCGUAGGCGGGCUUUUAAGUCAGCGGUAAAAAUUCGGGGCUCAACCCCGUCCGGCCGUUGAAACUGGGGGCCUUGAGUGGGCGAGAAGAAGGCGGAAUGCGUGGUGUAGCGGUGAAAUGCAUAGAUAUCACGCAGAACCCCGAUUGCGAAGGCAGCCUUCCGGCGCCCUACUGACGCUGAGGCACGAAAGUGCGGGGAUCGAACAGGAUUAGAUACCCUUGUAGUC